AUGGCGGUCUCCUGCUCCUCUUCCUCCAUCUUGGGCUCCGCCAAAGCCCUAGCUUCCUUCCAUAUCUCCCACCUCGCCCCCCAAAGAACAGCAUCAGCCCGCUUGCGCCUGCAGUGUAUCAAGAUGUGCUCUGCUCCGGCUGCGCCAGGGGGGUCAAAGAAGACCGUCUGGGUAUGGACAGAGAACCGGCAGGUGAUGACGGCUGCCGUAGAGAGGGGUUGGAACACUUUCCUCUUUGGAUCCAAAGAUGUCGGCAAGGACUGGUCAUCAACUGCUCGCAUCCAUCCUCUCUUUAUUGACGGCCUGGAGAUUUUCGAUGAGGGGAACCAAAAGGUUGCUGCAAUUUCUGAAAUCUCUUCCCCAGGUGGGCUGCAACUCAUACAGCCAGACAAUGUGGAAGUACAGAACACCGUGAUUCAUUUCCGAGGUGAUUGGCAGGUUAUACCAGCAGAAAAUAUAGUUGCUGCCUUCCAAGGAUGUGCAGGAAUUGUAUUGGCUGUUUCGACAAACUCAACUGAGGCUCAAGUUUUUCUUGAGGCCUUGGAGCAAGGGCUUGAUGGAGUUGUACUUAAAGUAGAGGACAUGGAUGAUAUUAUUAAACUCAAGGAUUAUUUUGACAGAAGGAACGAGGCAAAGAGCCAGUUACAGUUGACAAAGGCUACUGUAUCAAAGGUUGAAGUUGUUGGUAUGGGCGAUCGUGUUUGUGUGGACCUCUGUAGUAUCAUGCGACCCGGUGAAGGCCUUCUGGUUUGUGUCGGUUCCUAUGCAAGAGGAAUGUUCCUUGUUCACUCGGAGUGCUUGGAGACAAACUACAUUGCUAGCAGACCUUUCAGGGUCAAUGCAGGGCCUGUGCAUGCAUAUGUUACAGUCCCUGGGGACAAGACUAGCUACCUCUCAGAGCUGCAAUCAGGUAGGGAAGUAAUCGUUGUUGAUCAAAAUGGGUUGUGGCGAACUUCAAUUGUUGGCCGCGUGAAGAUUGAAUCAAGGCCUCUCAUCCUUGUAGAAGCAAAGGAGAACUCUGGAAAUGGUACAUAUAGCAUUUUCCUUCAAAAUGCAGAGACAGUUGCACUUAUCGGUCCUGACAGAGGAUCUGGUGGAAGGACUGCUAUUCCUGUGACUUCACUGAAAGUUGGCGACGAAGUUUUGGUGAGGAAGCAGGGCGGCGCCCGUCACACUGGAAUAGAGAUUCAGGAGUUUAUUGUCGAGAAAUGA
This 1212-nucleotide ribosomal RNA is filed under the name Triticum aestivum (bread wheat). Its description in RNAcentral is "partial small subunit ribosomal RNA". The record is from RNAcentral. Lineage: Eukaryota; Viridiplantae; Streptophyta; Magnoliopsida; Poales; Poaceae.